GGCACUAUUUUUGUAUGUGUCUUAUGGAAAUCACACUCGGAAAUGCUGACAGCAGGCUUCAGGACAGCUGAGCCUUGCUAGACACCAGGAAGCCCAUGGCCCUGGUGGCGCCUUUCAACAUGACAGAUCCACAGCCUGCCAUUGCAGGAGGAAUUUCUGAAGUCGAGAUCAUCUCCCAACAAGUUGAAGAAGAAACCAAGAGCCUUGCUCCUGUGCAGCUCGUGAAUUUUGCCUAUCGAGACUUGCCCCUGGCUGCCGUCGACCUGUCCACAGCAGGAUCACAGCUUCUGUCAAAUCUGGACGAGGAAUACCAAAGAGAAGGGUCUAACUGGCUGAAGCCAUGCUGUGGGAAGAGAGCAGCCGUGUGGCAGGUAUUUUUGCUCAGUGCGAGUCUCAACAGUUUCCUGGUAGCCUGUGUAAUAUUGGUGGUGAUUCUCCUGACUCUGGAACUUCUAAUAGAUAUAAAGCUUCUCCAGUGUGAGUAGCAAGAGGGAUACCUAUGCAAAUACGUAUGAUGUCGAUAUUCACUGUGCAUCUAUCUGUAACCAUCAGGGGUCCCCAAUAGGCAGGCUGGGAGGUGCCCCCUGCCUGAUGCCAAAGCCAACCCAUGGCCCCCUGGUUCACGGGGUUGGCCCCUGGGGAGGGACGCAUCUGGCAGCUCCUCUUGUCACCCAGAAUCAGUAUGCCCUCUCUGCCCCAUGUGGCCUCUCCAGUUCUCUUCCCCUUCAUUCCAUGAGCAGAAACUGAUGAGAUGAAAAAAAUGUUAGGGACC
This 772-nucleotide long non-coding RNA is filed under the name Cavia porcellus (domestic guinea pig). RNAcentral describes it as "lncRNA (ENSCPOG00000034297.1)". The record is from RNAcentral. Lineage: Eukaryota; Metazoa; Chordata; Mammalia; Rodentia; Caviidae.